AUUGAACGCUGGCGGCAGGCCUAACACAUGCAAGUCGAACGGUAACAGGAAGCAGCUUGCUGCUUUGCUGACGAGUGGCGGACGGGUGAGUAAUGUCUGGGAAACUGCCCGAUGGAGGGGGAUAACUACUGGAAACGGUAGCUAAUACCGCAUAACGUCGCAAGACCAAAGAGGGGGACCUUAGGGCCUCUUGCCAUCAGAUGUGCCCAGAUGGGAUUAGCUAGUAGGUGGGGUAACGGCUCACCUAGGCGACGAUCCCUAGCUGGUAUGAGAGGAUGACCAGCCACACUGGAACUGAGACACGGUCCAGACUCCUACGGGAGGCAGCAGUGGGGAAUAUUGCACAAUGGGCGCAAGCCUGAUGCAGCCAUGCCGCGUGUAUGAAGAAGGCCUUCGGGUUGUAAAGUACUUUCAGCGGGGAGGAAGGGAGUAAAGUUAAUACCUUUGCUCAUUGACGUUACCCGCAGAAGAAGCACCGGCUAACUCCGUG
RNAcentral lists this ribosomal RNA (490 nucleotides) under uncultured bacterium. Its description in RNAcentral is "partial 16S ribosomal RNA". It matches the Rfam family "Bacterial small subunit ribosomal RNA", at positions 30 to 507 of the family's 1533-position model. The record is from RNAcentral.